RNAcentral lists this ribosomal RNA (424 nucleotides) under uncultured bacterium. RNAcentral describes it as "bacterial SSU rRNA". It matches the Rfam family "Bacterial small subunit ribosomal RNA", at positions 358 to 774 of the family's 1533-position model. The record is from RNAcentral.
GGAAUCUUCCACAAUGGACGAAAGUCUGAUGGAGCAACGCCGCGUGAGUGAAGAAGGUUUUCGGAUCGUAAAACUCUGUUGUUGGAGAAGAACACGUUUGAGAGUAACUGUUCAGACGUUGACGGUAUCCAACCAGAAAGCCACGGCUAACUACGUGCCAGCAGCCGCGGUAAUACGGAGGAUGCAAGGGUUAUCCGGAUUUAUUGGGUUUAAAGGGUGCGUAGGCUGUUCGGAAAGUCAGGGGUGAAAGCCCGGCGCCUAACGCCGGAACUGCCUUUGAGACUUCCGAGCUGGAAUACGGAUGCCGUGGGAGGAAGGAGUAGUGUAGCGGUGAAAUGCAUAGAGAUUACGAAGAACACCGAUUGCGAAGGCAUCUCACGAAUCCGUCAUUGACGCUGAGGCACGAAAGCGUGGGGAUCAAACA